Long non-coding RNA from Podarcis raffonei (Aeolian wall lizard), 2771 nucleotides. RefSeq lists it as uncharacterized. The record is from RefSeq and is a predicted model, not a curated record. Lineage: Eukaryota; Metazoa; Chordata; Lepidosauria; Squamata; Lacertidae. The transcript is spliced from 4 exons.
GAGCCCAGAGUCCAUUGGCCAGUCCUUGGCCAGGCUCUGGCUUCACAAAGGGAUGCGGAACACUGUGGAAUUCUCUUGUUUCCCUGGCAACCAGAUGCCUGCUUUGAACUGAUUCUGAGAUCAGUUGGCAGCACAGACUCCUUCAGUUAACUGUCUUUGGUUCACCUGAAAGCCAGCAGGGAGGACUUCUGCCUCCCCUCAGAGGUGGACCUUGGUCUUUCCUGUUUCAGCGGCACCCUGUGCAAGGCCAACAUUCAAUAGUGUCCCCCCCCCCAUUGUGCUCAAUUCACUAUGAUGCCCUGUGGCAUCCCCUAGGCUCAGUGCCCAGUGUGGUGGAACCGGGCACACUGCCCCAAAUCUGCCUCAGCUCCCCAGUUGCACAAUGUGGGUCUGUUUCGGUGGAUUCCACAGAAGGUAAAGUCAGAACUGCCUCUCACCUGCGGUUCCUGGGCGUCCUGACUGUUGUCUUCCACCAGUGCAUGUUCAAGAAGAACCGCAAACUGCCUCUCACCUGCGGUUCCUGGGCGUCCUGACUGCUUUCUUCCACCAGUGCAUGUUCAAGAAGAACCGCAAACUGCCUCUCACCUGCCGUUCCUGGGCGUCCUGACUGUUCUCUUCCACCAGUGCAUGUUCAAGAAGAACCGCAGUAAGUCCACUUCCUUUGCUCAGCCAGAGUCCACACAGACCAGGUCCCUGUUCUGUAGCUGGAGCAGACUGCUGCUUCCACAUGGGUGGGUUGGAAGCAGGAGGCGAGAUUCCCUCCCAAGCCCCCCAGAGGGACAAUUGGAGCAGAGCACCACAAGAGCCCUUGGCAGUUGGGUCAAGCACUAGGUGGCUCAGUUAGACCUGUGGCCUGUUCUCCCAGGAGCUCACAGGCAGCAUGACAGAAGUCCCAGUACAGCGCUCCCCAGGAAGAGGUCUUUUUCAAAGACACUUGCUGCCUUUGGUUUGUGUGGGUGGGGGGAGGAUGAAGGGACUUGGACUGAAGCACAAGGAGGGUUCUUAAAGGACAGCCCACAGAAAGGGAUUCCCUCCUCUGUGGAUGGCCUGCUUGCUCCUGGGGUCAUCAACUACAGCAGAAACAUCCUUUGGCUCCUGCCAGCACUAACUGCCUCCCAUGCUGAGGCAUCUCACACAAAUAUGCCACAUUUACAUACUUCAGAGUCUAGGGUGCGGAAACCAAUUGGGAGGUGACUUAAAUGCAUAAACUAUUCUCCUGGGAUGGUUCCGGAUUUACAAAAGCUGUUCUGGUUUCUCAUUUGAUACCGGAAUGUCCUGCUUCUUCAGAGAAAUUCUGGAGGGUUUGUUGGUACGUCCCUAUUAUCAUUGGAGAGAUGUUGGAGGGAAUGGAGUGAGGCUUCCCCUGGGGCUUUUUUUUGGCCGGAACUCACCGGAACUCAUUUCCGGACCCUUUCAGAGAACGAGGGAGGUUUCAUGCUGCAUCCCAGCACCUCUUUUUUUCUAGAAGAAUACCACUGCAUGUCUCUAUUUUCAUGAGAAGGUAAGUGGAAGGUAAGUGACUGCAACAAACACUGGUGAGGGCUCAAUUGGUAGAACUUGUCAGUGCAGGGGAUCUGCCUCACACCACCCUAAAUCUGGUGCUGAGAAGGGGUGCACUUUGCUGUCAUCCCACCAGACAGCCAAACAUCUUAGGUCAAAGUGUUUAGUAUGCCAACUCCUUUCAUUGGUUUUGUGCUGGUCCCGUGGGUUACCCAAGAGGCAAAGUCCAAGUCUGGUCCGUGGUCAAAGGUGCAACAAGGAGGCAGUCCGUAGAAGCUGAAGCUGAAGCUGGGUGCAGGGCAGGGAGUCGGGUGAAGUCAGGGACAGGCAUGCAAGCAGGGAGCCAGGGCGGCUCAGGACCUCGGGCAGGAAAGCAGGACAGGGUUCAGGCAGGAACUAGCAACCAACAAUGUUGCUCCCGCAACUUGGGACUGGGGCUGGCCGGCUUUUAUCUUCCCCAAGGCAUAGGGCAGCCCCGAUCCUCAGGUGACUCACCUCUCCUGGCCUGGAGGUGAGCACUCCUCCUGAGGGAACUUAGUUCCCUCUGCCUCUCUGCCCUGAGCCUCUGCAGCUCAGGAGAGGCUGGAGGGUUACCGGACCCAGAGGCAACCUCAGCUUCCCCUGACGGGGCUGAGAGUGGAGCACCUGCAGGCGAUGGGUCCUCCAUCACCUCAGGAGCCAGAGCAGGCUCAGCUGGUGCCUGCACCUGAGGAUCCAGCACAGGUGAGGACCCUUCAGGCUCAUGCCCCAGCCCCGGCUCAGCUGGUUCUGGAGGUGGGGAAUUCUGUGCAGGCUGGGAUCCCUCAGGUUCAGCAUCUGAGUCCGAAUCCCAGGACAUCCCAGGUUUUCAGGGCAAGGAACAGAAAGGGGAAUGAGCGUGUUCUGGCUGUUCUCAAAGCGAGGGAAUACCACUGCCUCUCUGUGGUGUGUAGCCAGGGUAGCUGACCUAACAAAUUCAGAUGCCCAUUUCCCAAUGUGGGAAAGCCUGUGAGGAGUUUCCUCUGCUGUCUAAGGAGGCGCUUCUGCCCUGAGGAAGAAUUUCCGCCAUCUGAGAGAUUAGUACGAUGGAGAGGCAGGGACGUGGGCAGUGAGGUGGGCUGGGCAGCGUCAGGGGCCAAGGCUGCUGGAAUUUCCUGGCCCUUCCCUCAAGCAAGGUUUGGGUGAGGCAGAGCCACUGCCUCAUGGCAAAACGGGAUGGGGCCUGGGGCAUGCACAGGCUCCCCUGCUAGGCUGCCCAGUGCCAGUCCAGCUGCGCUGCCUGGCUGCUAGGA